UUGCUUUGAGCUCGUCUCUCUCUCUCUCUCUCUCUCUCUCUCUCUCUCUCUCCCUUUGUAGCACACACGGCGGGAAACCGAUAUUUUGGCGAAAACCCUCCCUCCAAUUCCCAAAACCCGAUCCUCUCAUCCUCCUCUUUUAAAUCCCUAAUCCAAUCUCUUUUCCCAAAAUUUCGAAACCCCACUCACUUCCACUCCGAGAAGACGUGAGAAAGUUUCGCUACCUAUACUCCAUUGACAUAACUUUCCGUUCGAGACCGAGUGCGAGAGAGAGCAAAGGUAAGGCCCACCGCUUUUGCUUCUUCUCUCUCCUCGGUCGCUAAAAUUCAUGGCAUUCGCUCUCAAGCACCAAGAUGACGACACCACCGUCGACGUCCACAGCGCCGUCGGCACUCCCGUUCGGUAUCUCCCACUUGACCACGUCUACUCCGCUACCUCCCCCUGCUGCGUCAGCGUCAGCGUCAGCGCCAGCGGCUCCUCCAACGUCAUGUCCAAGAAAGUGAAAGCCCGUAAGCUCAUCGUCAACGAUUAUGACCACGAUCUCGAUCCCGAUCGCAAACCCUCCUCCCCUUCCAUCCAUAGACGACCUCCUCUCGUCCACGUUUACUCUCGCCGCCCCAAAACAUUCCGCCAUUCAUCGUUCUACGAUUCUGUCAUCACCCGCGAAGAGGCAACUUCUGAGUUUGAUGGGAAGUUAGGGGGGAGAUUGUUGAACAACAAGAAGAAGAAACGGAGAUUUGGGAGUAGUGAACUGGUGAAGUUGGGUGUAGACUCCAGCGUUUUACGCAGCCUUGAUGGCCCGCGGUUGAGGGAUUCCCGAAAUCGUAAUGCUACUAAUAGUAAUAAUUCUAGUACUAACUCCCGGAAAAGGAAGCGAGUUUUUUCGGAGAAUUGUGAGAACGUUUUGUCCGAGUCACCUUCCACCAGGAGAUGGGUCAGGUUGAGUUUCGAUGGUGUUCAUCCAAAAACAUUUAUUGGACUACAAUGCAAGGUUUAUUGGCCACUGGAUGCUGAUUGGUACUCUGGUCGAGUUGUGGAUUACAAUCCAGAGGCUAAUCUACAUCAAGUAGAAUAUGAAGAUGGUGAUAAGGAAGAUCUGAUUCUUUCAAAUGAGAAAAUUAAAUUUUAUAUCUCUCAUGAAGAGAUGCAACAUUUGAACUUCAGUUGUAGUGUUAACAGUAUGGAUGGCGAUACCUAUGAUUAUAACGAGAUGGUUGUGUUGGCUGCAAGUUUGGAUGACUGCCAAGAUCUUGAGCCCGGGGAUAUUAUAUGGGCCAAGCUUACUGGUCAUGCUAUGUGGCCGGCAAUUGUUGUGGAUGAAUCACUCAUUGGUGAUCAUAAAGGGUUAAGCAAAAUUUUGGGAGGACAGUCAAUUACAGUGCAGUUUUUCGGUACACAUGAUUUUGCAAGAAUUAAAGUGAAACAGGUUAUCUCAUUUCUCAAGGGACUCCUUUCUUCUUUCCACCUGAAGUGCAAGAAACCUCGUUUCAUUCGCAGCUUGGAAGAAGCGAAAACGUAUUUGAGUGAACAAAAGCUUCCAAGAAGAAUGCUACAGCUGCGAAAUGGAAUUACCACUGAUAAUGUAAGUGCAAGUGAAGAUGAUGGAGGGAGUACUGAUACUGGUGAAGAUUGCCUAGAAGAUGUAGAGAUUGAUGGAGCAUCAGAGAGCCUUGGUACUUCUUCCUAUGUAAUUGGGGAUUUGCGAAUUAUGAGCCUCGGUAAGAUUGUCAAGGACUCGGAAUACUUCCAAGAUGAGAAAUCCAUUUGGCCUGAAGGAUAUACUGCUGUGAGAAAGUUUACUUCAAUGAACGAUCCCAGUGCAUGUGCCUUAUAUAAGAUGGAAGUGUUGAGAGAUGCUGAAUCAAAGCUUCGACCUCUAUUUAGAGUGACAUUAGAUAAUGGAGAGCAGUUCAAAGGAUCCACUCCAUCUGAAUGCUGGAAUAAAAUAUACAAAAGAAUAAAAAAAAUACAAACAAGUAGCUCUGAUUGUUCAAGUGCUGAAGCUGCAGGAGAGAGAAUCUAUAAGUCUGGUUCUUACAUGUUUGGUUUCUCCAAUCCUGAAGUUUUGAAGCUUAUACAGGGGUCAUCUAAAUUUAGACUUUCUUCAAAAUUCUCUGUCUGCAAGUUAGCCUCUAGAAGAUAUCAAGACCCGCCUGUUGGGUACCGACCUGUUCGUGUUGACUGGAAAGACCUUGACAAGUGCAGUGUUUGUCACAUGGAUGAGGAGUACGAAAACAAUCUGUUCCUGCAAUGUGAUAAAUGCAGAAUGAUGGUCCAUGCUAGAUGCUAUGGAGAAUUAGAACCUGUCAAUGGAGUGCUAUGGUUAUGUAACUUAUGUCGACCCGGGGCUCCCAACCCUCCUCGUUGCUGCCUUUGUCCUGUUAUAGGGGGCGCAAUGAAGCCAACAACUGAUGGGCGCUGGGCUCAUCUAGCGUGUGCUAUAUGGAUACCUGAAACUUGCUUAUCAGAUAUAAAAAGAAUGGAGCCUAUUGAUGGGCUAAGUAGAAUCAAUAAGGAUCGCUGGAAGCUGUUAUGCAGCAUCUGUGGUGUAUCUUAUGGAGCUUGCAUUCAAUGUUCAAACAAUACUUGUUAUGUAGCGUAUCAUCCACUUUGUGCACGUGCUGCUGGUUUGUGUGUUGAGCUUGAAGAUGAGGACAGACUAUAUCUGCUUGCCGUAGAUGAUGAUGAAGAAGAUCAGUGCAUCCGAUUGCUAUCGUUUUGCAAGAAGCAUAGGCAACCCUCUAAUGAGCGUUCGGCUGGUGAUGAACGUAUUGGGCAAGUUGCUCGUCAGUGUUCAGACUAUACCCCACCAUCUAAUCCUUCUGGCUGUGCUCGCACUGAACCUUACAAUUACUUUGGUAGAAGGGGGCGGAAAGAGCCAGAAGCCCUUGCUGCUGCCUCCUUGAAGCGCUUGUUUGUACAGAACCAGCCUUACUUAGUGAAUGGUUAUGGCCAGCACACAUUUUCAGGAAACUUGUCUUCUUCCAAUGGACUCAUCGGCUUCAUGUUCUCUUCUACCCUACAGAGGCUGAAAAGCUCUCAGCUUAAUGCUCCUAACAACAUACUCUCAAUGGCUGAAAAAUAUAGAUAUAUGAGGGAGACAUUCCGAAAGAGACUAGCAUUUGGGAAAUCAGGAAUCCAUGGGUUUGGUAUCUUCGCAAAGCAUCCACAUAGAGCAGGAGACAUGGUGAUUGAAUACACAGGCGAACUUGUUAGACCUCCUAUAGCUGACAGGAGAGAGCGCUUUAUAUACAAUUCAUUGGUGGGUGCUGGGACUUAUAUGUUUCGGAUUGAUGAUGAGCGAGUCAUUGAUGCCACAAGGGCUGGAAGUAUUGCUCAUCUGAUUAACCACUCCUGUGAGCCAAAUUGCUAUUCAAGAGUUAUAAGUGUCAAUGGUGAUGAGCAUAUAAUUAUAUUUGCCAAGAGAGACAUCAAAAGAUGGGAGGAACUCACAUAUGAUUAUAGAUUUUUUUCAAUUGAUGAACAACUAGCAUGUUAUUGUGGCUUCCCAAGAUGCCGGGGUGUAGUUAAUGACAUCGAAUCGGAAGAGCGAGCAGCAAAGCUAUAUGCACCUCGCAGUGAAUUAAUAGAUUGGAGAGGAGAGUAAAAAAGCAUCUAGAUUGUUAAGUGAUUACAACAAAAAUUGGGAGGGUGUGGCUUCUGAAGAAUAAUUUCAUUGCUCGGUGUAUAAUGAAGACUAAAACCCCCUAGCCUCUAGUCAUAGAUAAAAAAAAGAAGUUUCUCACUGUAAAGAUUGUUUAUCUGAGAUGCUUCUGAAGAGACAUCUUUUCUCCAACCUACUCAUCGGCUCUUAUUUUUUAUUGAGGCAGGAAGCGGUGUAGAGUUCUGAUUUUUCUUCUCUCAUCUAUUUGUUACACAACCAAAGAGCUUUUUUCGUAAAAGCUCUUUAAUUUGAGCAAACCAACUUGAGAAUGGUAUCAGGAAAAAAAAAAAAUUCUUAACAAAAAUUUAUUCGAGCAUGAGAAAAGGUGUAUUAGUUUCAUUUUA
Molecule: RNA transcript, 4008 nt
Organism: Carya illinoinensis
Lineage: Eukaryota; Viridiplantae; Streptophyta; Magnoliopsida; Fagales; Juglandaceae
Gene name: histone-lysine N-methyltransferase ATX2-like
Exons: 26
Source: RefSeq, a predicted model, not a curated record